GACGAACGCUGGCGGCGUGGAUUAGGCAUGCAAGUCGAACGGUAUCAUCCUUUCGGGGGUGAGAGAGUGGCGAACUGGUGAGUAACACGUAGGUUAUCUACCCUCAAGACGGGGACAACCCAGGGAAACUUGGGCUAAUACCGGAUGUGAGCAACUUUUAGUUGUUUGAAAGGUGGCGUAAGCUGUCGCUUGGGGAUGAGCCUGCGUCCUAUUAGUUAGUUGGUGAGGUAACGGCUCACCUAGGCAAUGAUAGGUAGGCGGCCUUAACGGGUGGUCGCCCACACUGGGAUUGAGAUACGGCCCAGACUCCGUACGGGAGGCAGCAGUCGAGAAUAGUCUACAAUGGUCGGAAGACUGAUAGUGCGACGCCGCGUGAACGAUGAAUCCCUUCGGGGUGUAAAGUUCUUUUAUAUGUGAGCAGUGCUUCUUAUAUUAACAGUAUGGGGAAGAGAUAUUAGCAUAUGAAUAAGCAACGGCUAACUCCGUGCCAGCAGCCGCGGUAA
This 503-nucleotide ribosomal RNA is filed under the name uncultured bacterium. RNAcentral describes it as "bacterial SSU rRNA". It matches the Rfam family "Bacterial small subunit ribosomal RNA", at positions 28 to 523 of the family's 1533-position model. The record is from RNAcentral.